This 442-nucleotide long non-coding RNA is filed under the name Brassica napus (rape). RNAcentral's name for it is "long non-coding RNA (BNAP_LNC013973)". The record is from RNAcentral. Lineage: Eukaryota; Viridiplantae; Streptophyta; Magnoliopsida; Brassicales; Brassicaceae.
GUGGUUGGCUGUGUCGAUCGAUGUCGGGUGGUAUAGAUCGAUGAUGUGAGGUGGUUGUCGAUCGAUCUCAUCAGGUUGGUGUCGACCGAUGCUAGCCUUUGAAGUUUCCAUAUCUCCUCUCGAAGUAUGCUGAUCAUCAUCAAGCUUCUUCUUCGAAUUUUGAUCCAUAUCUUCAAGCCAUUCCUCCAGCUCUAAGGAGUCUUAGAUAGUGACUUCUCUGUCUACAUCGUCGAUCGAUGAUGAGGUUGUAACGUUGAUCGACGUUGAGGUCUUGAUAUCGAUCGACAUUGAGGUUGUGAUGUCGUUCGAUGUUGAGAUCGUGCCGUCGGUCGACGUUGAGGUCGUGCCGUCGGUCGACGUUGAGGUCGCGUUUUCAGUACCAGCUUCCUCUACUCAGCUCAGCUCUCCAGACACAUGUUGUUCAUCCCUUGUUGCCAUAAUG